UACAGAGGAUGCAAGCGUUAUCCGGAAUGAUUAGGAGUAAAGCGUCUGUAGGUGGCUUUUUAAGUCCGCCGUCAAAUCCCAGGGCUCAACUCUGGACAGGCGGUGGAAACUACCAAGCUGGAGUACGGUAUGGGCAGAGGGAAUUUUCGGUGGAGCGGUGAAAUGCGUAGAGAUCGGAAAGAACACCAACGGCGAAAGCACUCUGCUGGGCCGACACUGACACUGAGAGACGAAAGCUAGGGGAGCGAAUGGG
This 253-nucleotide ribosomal RNA is filed under the name uncultured bacterium. RNAcentral's name for it is "partial 16S ribosomal RNA". It matches the Rfam family "Bacterial small subunit ribosomal RNA", at positions 524 to 776 of the family's 1533-position model. The record is from RNAcentral.